Molecule: long non-coding RNA, 7003 nt
Organism: Chelonia mydas (Green sea turtle)
Lineage: Eukaryota; Metazoa; Chordata; Testudines; Cheloniidae
Exons: 14
Source: RefSeq, a predicted model, not a curated record
GAUGAAGUGAGCUGUAGCUCACGAAAGCUCAUGCUCAAAUAAACUGGUUAGUCUCUAAGGUGCCACAAGUACUCCUUUUCUUUUUACGAAUACAGACUAACACGGCUGUUACUCUGAAACCUAUGGAUGCUGUAAGUGCGGGAAAACAUUCACUCAGCAUUCACACCUUAUUUGCCAUCAGAGGAUCCACACAGGGGAGAAACCCCAUGAAUGCUGUGAGUGUGGGAAAACCUUCUUUUGGUACUCAGCCCUUAUAAAACAUCAGAGGAUCCACACAAGGGCGAAAGCUUGUGAAUGCUGUGAGUGCGGGAAAACGUUCACUGAGCGCUCACACCUUAUUCGCCAUGAGAGGAUCCAUACAGGGGAGAAACCCUAUGAGUGCUGUGAGUGCGGGAAAACCUUCAUUCAGCACUCACAUCUUAUUGCACAUCAGAGGAGUCACACAGGGGAGAAACCCUAUGAAUGCUGUGAGUGCGGGAAAACCUUCGCUUGGAGCUCAGGCCUUAUUACACAUCAGAGGAGCCGCACAGGAGAGAAACCCUAUACAUGCUGUGAGUGCGGGAAGACCUUCACUCAGAGCUCAAGCCUUAUCAUACAUCAGAGGAUCCACACAGGAGAGAAACCCCAUGAAUGCUGUGAGUGUGGGAAAUUCUUCCAUCACAACUCUUUUCUUAUUUAUCACCAGAAAAGCUGCAAGGGAGAUAAACACCAUGAAAAUCUUUUCUUGGGCUCAGAAAAGAUUGUUUUUUCCUGAUUCCCAAGUAGUGCACUUUAAGGCAGCAUUUGUGGCGUCUCAGCUCCUUCAGAAGGAGGGGUGGGGACCCAGAGAGACAAAAGAUUCCUGCCUUGUGUCAAAGCUAUAGAAGGGGUGGAGCAGGAGAAAGGGGGCCAGUCAUGAGAAAUCCCCUGCUUACCACCUGAGAUGUCUGCUGGAACUAACACUACCUGGGGAAAGGAUCGGGCCCAGACUAGGAAGGAGUCUAAUCUGUGAAAGAAGCUUAUUGGAACAUCUCUGAGGUUUGCAGAGGAAUCGUCCAGAAGCCCUAGCUGGAGGAGAAGCUGGCAGAAGUGGACCUGAGCAUCCUUCUAAGGAGACGUGAAUAGUUCUCAUGUUUCUGCCUUCUGCAUAACUGCCUUCCCACGGGAAAAGAAGUCAAGCGUUGGAGUCUACUGCCCUCAUGCGACGGAAACAGAGCGACGAGACCGUGAGCGUUGUUGAUGCCACGGAAAAGUCAUCCAACUGGGAGCGGAAGAGCCGCCACCCUCAGUGAGGAGCGGUGUGUCCUCUGCAGCAGAAGGUUCGAUCCAGGAGGAUGACUCCAGGGGAGGAAUUGCUGAGGAGCCCUAGCCGGAGGAGAAAGUGGCAGAGAUGGACCUGAGCAGCUUGGACAUUGUUCUCAGCAGACGUGAACAGUCCUCCGCUUUCUGCCUCCCGCUUAACUGGCUUACCAAGGGAAAAGAAGUCGCGUGCCAGAGUCUACUGCUUCAUGCGAUGGAAAGCGAGCGACAGUGACAAGACCCUGCUCUUGCAGAGGAAUUGUCCAGGAGCCCAGCCAGAGGAGAAAGUGGCAGAGGUGUAGCUGAGCAGCUUGGGCAUCCUUCUGAGGAGACAUGAACAGUCCUCUCCUUUCUGCCUCCCGCAUAACUGGCUGCGUGGGAAAGAAGUCAAAUGACAGAGUUUACUCCACUCGUACGAUGGAAAGCGAGCGAGAGCAGGGAGACUGUGAGCCUUGUUGAAAUGAGGCAGGAGCCAUACAUUUGGGAGUGGAGCAGCCGCCACUGUCAGUGAGAUAAGUGAUAUAUUUCAUGCGAGAUAGUCUUUUAAGGUAUCAUUGGAAAGGUUAUAAUUUACUGCAUGUGAUUAUCCAAUUUGGAUGCACGUAUCAUUUCUGUAUCUAAAGUUGGAAAUAUUGACUAUGUAACAGUUACAACCGGGUGUAUACUUGGGAAACACCCACCAGACAACACACCAUCAGCCUUGAUGGGCCAUUAGGAAGAAACAAUAAGACUGUGAAGACACUAAUCUCUCUCCUUCCUGAGACGCGUCCUGGGAUGUAGCUGUGACGCUACUAGGUCAGGUGGUCCUGUCACCUGGUACUAAACGCUAUCUUGGACUUCUAGUAAUUUUCCACUAAAAGGAAGGGGUGGUCAAGACUGGGAAACAAAAGAUUCCCGCCUUAUGUAAAUCUUACUUAAGGCUGGGGAGUAACGCAAACAGGUCUCUUCUCCUUUGCCUUCCUGUCGAAGCAGAAAGACUGCUAAAAGUACCUGAAGGGACAAAGGAACUGAGCAGCGGGAACGUCCAGGGCUGAGUCCGGACUAAGACAGCAACUUGCCUAAAAACAACCUUUAGGGUCCCGGAUGACUGGAAGAAGGUUAAUGUAGCGCCCAUCUUUAAAAAAGGGAAGAAGGAGCAUCCAGAGAACUACAGGCCAGUCAGCCUCACCUCAGUCCCUGGAAGAAUCAUGGAGCAGGUCCUCAAGGAAUCAAUUCUGAAGCACUUAGAGGAGAGGAAAGCGAUCAGGAACUGUCAGCAUGGAUUCACCAAGGGCAAGUCAUGCCUGACUAAUCUAGUUGCCUUCUAUGACGAGAUAACUGGAUCUGCAGAUGAGGGGAAAGCGGCGGACGUAUUGUUCCUUGACUUUAGCAAAGAUUUUGAUAUGGUCCCCCCCAGUAUUCUUGCCAGUAAGUUAAAGAAGUAUUGGCUGGAUGAACGGACUAUAAGGCGGAUAGAAAGCUGGCUAGACCGUCGGGCUCAACGUCUCCGUGUCUAGUUGGCAGCCGGUAUCAAGCGGAGUGCCCCAAGGGUUGGUCCUCGGGCCGGUUUUGUUCAAUAUCUUCGUUAAUGAUCUGGAGGAUGGUGUGGAUUUCACCCUCAGCAAGUUUGCAGAUGACACUAAACUGGGAGGAGAGGUAGAUACGCUGGAGGGUAGGGAUAGGAUACAGAGGGCCCUAGACAAAUUAGAGGAUUGGGCCAAAAGAAAUCUGAUGAGGUUCAACAAGGACAAGUGCAGAGUCCUGCACUUAGGAUGGAAGAAUCCCACGCACCGCUACAGACUAGGGACCGAACGGCUAGGUAGCAGUUCUGCAGAAAAGGACCUAGUGGUUACAGUGGACAAAAAGCUGGAUAUGAGUCAACGGUGUGCCCUUGUUGCCAAGAAGGCCAAUGGUAUUUUCGAAUGUAUAAGCAGGGGCAUUGCCAGCAGAUGGAGGGACGUGAUCGUUCCCCUCUAUUCGACAGUAGUGAGGCCUCAUCUGGAGUACUGUGUCCAGUUUUGGGACCCACACUGCGAGAAGGAUGUGGAAAAAUUGGAGAGUCCAGCGGAGGGCAACAAAAAUGAUUAGGGGACUGGAACACAUGACUUUUGAGGAGAGGCUGAGGGAACCUGGAUUGUUUGGUCUACGGAAGAGAAGAAUGAGGGGGGAUUUGAUAGCUGCUUUCAACUACCUGAAAGAGGGUUCCAAAGAGGAUGGAUCUAGACCGUUCUCAGUGGUAGCGGAUGACAGAACGGGGAGUAAUGGUCUCAAGUUGCAAUGGGGGAUGUUUAGGUUGGAUAUUAGGAAAAACUUUUUCACUAGGAGGGUGGUGAAACACUGGAAUGCGUUACCUAGGGAGGUGGGGGAAUCUCCUUCCUUAAAAGUUUUUAAGGUCAGACUUGACAAAGCCCUAGCUGGGAUGAUUCAGUUGGGGAUCGGUCCUGCUUUGAGCAGGGGGUUGGACUAGAUGACCUCCUGAGGUUUCUUCCAACCUUGAUAUUCUAUGAUUGUCACUGUUGCUUCAUGAGGGAAAUGCGUUGAGGAUUAGCCCAAGUGGCCCCUUGUUGCCUCUCUUCCUUGGUGAGGGAAAUGGUUUGUGCAUUACCUGGAUUGGCCACCUGGUUUCACUCUUGCUCCAUGCGGGAAAUAUUUUAGUGAUGCCAGGUGGCCACUCGAGGCAAUGCACACAGCAUUUCCCUCAUGGAGCAACAAUGACAGUGGGUGGUCACUCAGGGUAAUCCACAGUUGCUCCACGAAGGAAAUGCUUUGUGCGUUACCUCGAUUAGGCGCCCAGUGUCACUGUUGCUCCAUGAUAUAAAUGCUGUGUGCAUUAACCCGAGUGGCCAUCCGGUGUCACUGUUUCUCCAUGAGGGAAAUGUUUUGUGGAUUACUCCGUGGUCACCCAGCGUCACUGUUGCUCUAUGGGGAAAAUCCUCUGUGCAUAACCCUGCCCUUCCACCCGGUGUUACUGUUGUUCCAGGGCAGCUGCAGGCUGAGUUGCCUGUAAGGGUAUGUCUAUGCUGGCAUUGAAGGACAAAACUUUUGUCUUUCAGAAGCGUUAACCCCUUCCCCCAUCCCCCCACCCCGAAAGUAAAAGUUUUGCCACUACAAGUACCAGUGUGAACCACACACAUUGUCGUCAGGAGCGCUUUCCUGCUCACAAUACAAAUGCCACUCGUUGGGAGUGGAAGUUUUUUGUUGGCAGGAGAGACGACAAACAGCGGCUACGCUUCACGGCUUUUAGCAGCAGGGCUGAAUCCUAAGGGUAUGUCUACACUACCCGCCAGAUCAGUGGAUAGUGAUCGAUCUAUCGGGGGUCAAUUUUAGUCUAAACACGAUAAAUUGAUCGUGAGAGGCGCAAGCGGAGUGGACGGGGGAGCGGUGGCAGUCAACCCUGUGUCGCGAAGACGCCGAGGUAAGUUGACCUAAGAUACGUCGACUUCAGCUACGCUAUUCUCCUAGCUGAAGUUGCAUAUCUUAGGUUGACCCCGCCCCAGUGUGACCAGGGCUUAGAUAAAUGCAUGGUAGAGCCUGAGUACAGACGACUGCUUCCCUUUAAGUGAGGCUUGGUUUCUCAUAAAAGUUUUCUUCCUUAUUCUGGGUGUGGGAGGAGAAUUUCCCUAUUUUAUGAGUAGGUGUGGGUUUAUGACCAGGGGAAGAGACAACAGUCUUCUCUGCACAGUGACUCUCUUGAAUACAGGUGCAACGGGCUGCUUAACAUACGAACGUAAGAAUGGCAAUAUGGGGUCAGACCAAAGGUCCGUCUAGCCCACUAUCCUGUCUUCCGACUGGCUAAUACCAGGUGCUUCAGAGGGAAUGAAUAGAACAGGUAAUCGAGAAGUGAUCCAUCCUGUGUCGCCCAUUCCCAGCUUCUGGCAAACAGAGGAUAAGGACACCAUCCUUGCCCAUCCUGACUAAUAGCCAUUGAUGGACCUAUUCUCCAUGAAUUUACCUAGUUCUUUUUUGAACCCUAUUAUAGUUUUGGCUUUCACAGCAUUCUCUGGCCAGCAAUUCCACAGGUCGAGUGUGUGUUGUAUGCUUUUUAAUUGUAUCUAUGAAGGUCUAAUGGGAGAAGGAGAAGAACCACCGACACAACAUUGCAGAUUCCGACGAUAACUUUUGUUUUUCCCUCUUGUGUUGUGCUUCGUGUCAAGGGUAAGAGCCCACCCCUGUUGUGAGAUGGAAAGCAUACAAGAGCCAUGAGACACUGAGCAUUGUUGAUGCCAGGCUACGGUGAUGCCGUCUAGCUGGAAGCAGAGCAGCCAUCGCUGUUAGUAAGAUAAGUGUCUGGUUUGGUGAGGAGUCUGGUCACGGCGCACCUGGCUCCAGGCAGGGACGCGCCAUUAGCUAGGUCUGUGUUUGUAAGAAAAGGUUCCUGACUAGCUGUGGCUACGAGGGAGACAAGGCCCCCAUUAUCAGGGGCUGCUCAUCUGUCUGGCCAGGAGAGGUGUGUCCACUGCAGCAAAAGGUUGGAUCCAGGAGGAUGACUGUAGCUGGUGAGUUUCUUGCCUUCCUCCCCUGUUUCUCUCUCUCUCUUCUCUACUCUAGUGUGUUGGCUGACACACUUUGUCUGUCUGUGCUUGCUUCUCCUUCUUCGGUCUCCCUUCAUAGCACACAGGCAGGCGUGCUAGGUGUGCAUCCCCAUUGGCUAGGUCUUGGGAGCCAUGAAGAAGUAGGAGGGAACAAAAAUCAUGCGGAGGAGUGCGCGUGAGAGUGGAGCAUCACUGUCAGUGUUGACUGAGUCUCUGUUCAUCAAGUGGGUCCGAUUUAGAUGGGAUGGGAGAGGGAGGCAGGGAUGAGGGCAAGGUUUUGCACACCAAUUGAGUUUUGUGGAGUGAUGGCUUCUGCUUGGCUUAAUUGUGGUGCUUGCAGAGGAAUCGUCGAGCAGCAUCUGCAGGAGAAGCUGGCAGAGGUUGACCUGAGCAGCCUGGAUAUUCUUGUAAGCGAAGAUUAACAGUCCUCCGCUUUCUGCCUUCCGCAUAACUGACUGUGAGUAUGCGGUCAGUGCUUUGAAUUCCUCAUUCUGUACUCACUCUAGUUUUCUUCACAGGCCGUGAGCUUCCUCAUUGGGCAUGGGGCUCUGUGGGAUUAAGGUUGAGGAAGAGAGGCCUGCUCCAGGCCAGUGCAGCAGCCCCAGACAGAGGAGGAGCAUGUGGAGGAAGUGGACCUGCACAAUCUAGACAUUUCACUUGCCAACGGAGCUGAGGAGGUCUCUUGUGAUGUUGGAGGAGCAGUUCCUCAUGAGAUUGGGUAGAUGAGAGAAUGGCCAGCCUGUGGCAGAGACCUAAGAAGGAGCAGCCACCCUGAGCCCAUCCCUAGGGAUCGAAGCCAGACAGUGAUCUGCAGACAGCAACAGCACCUAAAGAAACACAACUGGUGGAUGGGUCCUAGCCUGGAGGCCUCUAGAUAGUACAGACUGUGAAGAGCAUACGUUAUGCCCGUGAUGGAUCGUCUGCACCCGAGUCGGGGAUAAUUCUGAAAGAGACGAGGAGGACCCAAGAAUAAGAGACAGCGACCUCAUCGUUAGCUGUCCUCCUCUGUCUGUACUCACGGCAACAAGAUCGCUUGACGGACAAUUGGAGCAUCACCGAACUGUGGGCAGGGUGGUUGUGGCUGGAAGUCUUUCCAGUUAGUAUGAACUGCUGUAAGAUGUUGGGUGAGAAAACUUUUGGCUUUGAAAUGGUAUUUAGCUUGGUGAUAUUUAGGAAUUGGUUACAAAAGAAAUAAAAUGUGUAAGGCCAUAAAA